Molecule: ribosomal RNA, 503 nt
Filed under: uncultured bacterium
Lineage: Bacteria
Description: partial 16S ribosomal RNA
Rfam family: Bacterial small subunit ribosomal RNA
Source: RNAcentral
AUUGAACGCUGGCGGCAGGCUUAACACAUGCAAGUCGAGCGGGGUGAUGGUGCUUGCACUAUCACUUAGCGGCGGACGGGUGAGUAAUGCUUAGGAAUCUGCCUAUUAGUGGGGGACAACAUCUCGAAAGGGAUGCUAAUACCGCAUACGUCCUACGGUAGAAAGCAGGGGAUCACUUGUGACCUUGUGCUAAUAGAUGAGCCUAAGUCGGAUUAGCUCGUUGGUGGGGUAAAGGCCUACCAAGGCGACGAUAUGUAGCGGGUCUGAGAGGAUGAUCCUCCACACUGGGACUGAGACACGGCCCAGACUCCUACUGGAGGCAGCAGUGGGGAAUAUUGGACAAUGGGGGGAACCCUGAUCCAUCCAUGCCGCGUGUGUGAAGAAGGCCUUAUGGUUGUAAAGCACUUUAAGCGAGGAGGAGGCUUACCUAGUUAAUACCUGGGAUAAGUGGACGUUACUCGCAGAAUAAGCACCGGCUAACUCUGUGCCAGCAGCCGCCGUAA